This 385-nucleotide ribosomal RNA is filed under the name uncultured bacterium. RNAcentral describes it as "bacterial SSU rRNA". It matches the Rfam family "Bacterial small subunit ribosomal RNA", at positions 370 to 772 of the family's 1533-position model. The record is from RNAcentral.
AAUGGGCGAAAGCCUGAUGCAGCAACGCCGCGUGAGCGAUGAAGGUCUUCGGAUCGUAAAGCUCUGUCCUCAAGGAAGAAUUUUGACGGUACUUGAGGAGGAAGCCCCGGCUAACUACGUGCCAGCAGCCGCGGUAAUACGUAGGGGGCUAGCGUUAUCCGGAAUUAUUGGGCGUAAAGGGUGCGUAGGCGGUCCUACAAGUCAGAGGUGAAAGGCUACGGCUCAACCGUAGUAAGCCUUUGAAACUGUAGGACUUGAGUGCAGGAGAGGAGAGUGGAAUUCCCAGUGUAGCGGUGAAAUGCGUAGAUAUUGGGAGGAACACCAGUUGCGAAGGCGGCUCUCUGGACUGUAACUGACGCUGAGGCACGAAAGCGUGGGGAGCGAA